UUGAUCAUGGCUCAGAUUGAACGCUGGCGGCAGGCCUAACACAUGCAAGUCGAGCGGUAGCACAGAGAGCUUGCUCUCGGGUGACGAGCGGCGGACGGGUGAGUAAUGUCUGGGAAACUGCCUGAUGGAGGGGGAUAACUACUGGAAACGGUAGCUAAUACCGCAUAAUGUCGCAAGACCAAAGUGGGGGACCUUCGGGCCUCAUGCCAUCAGAUGUGCCCAGAUGGGAUUAGCUAGUAGGUGGGGUAAUGGCUCACCUAGGCGACGAUCCCUAGCUGGUCUGAGAGGAUGACCAGCCACACUGGAACUGAGACACGGUCCAGACUCCUACGGGAGGCAGCAGUGGGGAAUAUUGCACAAUGGGCGCAAGCCUGAUGCAGCCAUGCCGCGUGUGUGAAGAAGGCCUUCGGGUUGUAAAGCACUUUCAGCGGGGAGGAAGGCGAUAAGGUUAAUAACCUUGUCGAUUGACGUUACCCGCAGAAGAAGCACCGGCUAACUCCGUGCCAGCAGCCGCGGUAAUACGGAGGGUGCAAGCGUUAAUCGGAAUUACUGGGCGUAAAGCGCACGCAGGCGGUCUGUCAAGUCGGAUGUGAAAUCCCCGGGCUCAACCUGGGAACUGCAUUCGAAACUGGCAGGCUAGAGUCUUGUAGAGGGGGGUAGAAUUCCAGGUGUAGCGGUGAAAUGCGUAGAGAUCUGG
This 697-nucleotide ribosomal RNA is filed under the name Klebsiella quasipneumoniae subsp. quasipneumoniae. RNAcentral describes it as "bacterial SSU rRNA". It matches the Rfam family "Bacterial small subunit ribosomal RNA", at positions 13 to 701 of the family's 1533-position model. The record is from RNAcentral. Lineage: Bacteria; Pseudomonadati; Pseudomonadota; Gammaproteobacteria; Enterobacterales; Enterobacteriaceae.